RNAcentral lists this unclassified non-coding RNA (200 nucleotides) under soil metagenome. RNAcentral's name for it is "partial contains internal transcribed spacer 2 and large subunit ribosomal RNA". The record is from RNAcentral.
UGCAGCCGGCUCCUCUCAAAUGAAUCAGCUUGCCAGUGUUUGGUGGCAUCGUGAGUGUGAUAACUAUCUACGCUUGUGGUCGUCUGCCAGGUAACCUUCAGCGAUGGAGGUUCGCUGGGGCUUAUAAAUGUCUCUCCUCAGUGAAGACAGCUUUUUGAACGUUCGAUCUCAAAUCAGGUAGGACUACCCGCUGAACUUAA